Phlebotomus papatasi is the source of this 3413-nucleotide RNA transcript. RefSeq lists it as uncharacterized. The record is from RefSeq and is a predicted model, not a curated record. Lineage: Eukaryota; Metazoa; Arthropoda; Insecta; Diptera; Psychodidae. The transcript is spliced from 7 exons.
GUAAAAAUGAAUGGAUCACUGAGGAUUCAUUAAGAAGUAUCACAGCCUAAAAGAUUCAUUUUCAUCAAAUCACUUGAAUUAUAUCGAUUCUUCUUUAAAGAAUCACUUCAGUGAUACAAGCAAAGGAUCACAUGCAAUGAUCCAUUAAAAGUAUCCUCGAUUUGAUCUUUUCAAAUGGUUCAACAUACCGCAAAAUUUUAUAAAUAAAUUGGUAGAGAAAAUCAACUAAAACAAUAGUUUUCCAGGUUUGCUUAAUAGUACUUGAAAAUUGAAACACAAAAUCUGCAGGAUUAUUAUAUUUUUGUUUAGUGUUAAUUACGUAGAAAUAAUUUAUUUAAAUACAGGAUCAUUUCAAAUGGUUCGAAAUGUGAUCAAUUCAAUUGGAUCAACAUUUACGACUUUUUCCUCCUGAAUUUUCUUGAGAAUAAGAACAAAACAACAGCCAAAAACUUGCUUAGAGUAUUUACUCUGGCGAUAAAAUGUUGCUAUAAAUAUAAAAUUAAUAGUUAUUGUAUUUUUUCGUGAGAUAAAAACAAUUAAAAUGCGCAUCAGAAAGUGAACAUUUGAAAGGAUCACUUUUGUUUCCUUUAGCAUUCGAGGUGUUUUGUUCUCGCGUGUCCAGCUGGGUGCGGCGCAAUUGAUCUGUCAAAAGAUCACGCCACCCCUCAGUACCAAUGGCAAAGUGCACAAGUGAAGAAGUGUUUUUAUGUGCUUUGGGCUAAUUAAAUUUUGCGACGCAGUUUUUGAGAGGUAAGUAUUUUGCUUUGGAAUAGCAGAACACUAGAAAAGUGCGUGGAAAUAUUGUGAAAUGUGAAAAGAAACGUAGAGGAGAUAGUGUAAUGUGGUGAAUUGUGAAAUACCAAAGAAGCCAUGAUGUCUAGAGUGCGGCGUACAAUUCUUGAAAAAAUAAAAUGUUUUUUGCUAUUGAAAUUAUCACUUUAUUCAGCCAAUCUCGUAAAUUACUGAAAAACAUACACAAAAUGUACUAUAUUGGCUGAUAAGACCGAUCAAAACGCAUUGUAGAACAUGUAUUUUGCGUCCGGAAACAGAAAUAAUCUUUUUUGUUCUUUUCGUUUGUAGAUUUCUUCAUCUGAUUUUUUAUUAACACCUCCUGCUCAUCUUAGCUAAGCUCCUAGGGAGCUAGAGCAAGAUACGUAUACUAUCAAGAACAGGACAGAAUAUCGACCAGUUGCGGUGUGGCUUGAGAGAGUUAUAUACGUUCCGGAAAUUCUUGUCCAUUUUUCUUUCGCUGGGUCCUCAUCGUAUUCAUCUUUGGCUCAAUCCGAAGCAUUGAUCAAAUUGACUAAAGAAGAUUCAUGAGAUUCAGCUGAAGUGAUCAUACCAGCGUCUGAACAAAUUUAGGUGUGCCGAAAGAGUACUUUGAAGAACACAUAUUCAGCUAAAAAAUGGACAUUUUUGUGAACUUGCUAUUCAAUGAGAACUUAGAAGUCGUGGAUCUUUCCACCCCAAACAACGAGAUUUUGCGUGAACAAGAUGUAAUUGCGCUUGCUAAAACAACUUUUAAUAUUACCGAAGACAUUUAUUUCACAAAUGCUAAAGGAGCACGGAUUUCUGAGGAUUCAUUGCUGCGAUACAUCCUGAAGUUUCAUAAUGAUCCGAAUUUUACAUUGCACGUUAAAUUAAGUAAUCCAUUUGGCGAGGGUUCAUCAAAAAUGAAUGACGUGCUGUGCUAUGAAAUAGUGGAGCCAACCAUCGCAGAAGAAUCAUCCCAAGAAUCAUGUAACGAUAUGGCCACAAUUGGAGAUGUUAAACCUGAUCAUUCCCCCCAGGUCGGACUAAAACUGUCAUUACAGGAUUUGAAAAAGUAUAUUAUGAAUUGUGGCGCUCAAUCCAUCUUUGAUGAGUAUGAACACCUGGAAACACUGUCAAUGAAACAGCGUAUAAAGUUUGUGAAUUUGGUAGCCCAACAUUUGGUAAGGAAUUGCGGCUAUUAUCCUACGCGUGAUGAGAAAAUUGCCUAUGCAGAAAUGUGCAUAACGAUUUUUCCCUCCUUCAGAACUAAAUCUAUUUAUCCAUACAAUAAUUUACAUUGUUGAAAUAAUAGUAGAGGAUUUUUAAUAUAAUAUUUGAAAUCAAAAUGAACUAAAAUUUUAUCUUUAAUUGUACGCGAGGUUUAUUUUGAUUUAUCUAUUUAUUUAAUUUUCUACUAUUAUUCAAACCAAAUCAUCCUUAGAUGCGCAGAAUAUUGAAAAACACAUUAUCACGGAAGGAGCUCUUUUAUGACCCAAUCGGUAAAUGCGGUUUUCUGUACGAUCGCAUUAGAAGACUACAGAGGGAAAACGUGAAAUCUACCGGUGUUGGGAAAUACAAGAAACGUAAAACAAGUAAAGAUCACAACACGAACCAAGAAAACGCCAACCAGGACAACUCUCAAGGGGGUACUACGGUGGUUACAGAAGAAGUUUUAAAAAGAGAGAAGGAAAAUAUUAUUUUUCUUAAAAAUGCAUCGCUUUCUCAGCAAAAGGAGAAAAUAAUCACAACCUACAAGGAAAAUAAGGAGCACAGAAAGCGAAAUUUCAACAAUAUUUUGAUUGACUACAAGGAGAUACUUUUGCUGAUGCCAGAACUGCUCCUUUUGGAUUUUGAGGCGCCGCGUGAACCAAGCGAAAUUCGAUCUACAUUGAUAUCGUUGUUGCAAAAAAUCGAUAAGGAAUACGAAAUGCUUCCUGAUUCCAGAAAGAAUAAAAGCAACGAAAUUAUUGAUGAAUGGACAAUCAGCGUACAAGGAUUUUUGAAAGUACUUGCCUUUUUCCCUCCAGGAAAUACCGACGUGGAGAGACAGAAGGCAACACUAAAACAAUCCCUUUCGUCGUUCCUUAUGUUUUUUCCGCUCGGAACUCCUCCUUCCGAAAUUAUUACUGAAGUAAACAAAGGACAACCAGGAAUUCAACUCUUCGCUGAAGGAGGCAACAGAAAAUCAUUAUCGAAUUUUUAUUUGAAAAUCGACAAUAUUAUUUUGAAAAUUAAGGCAGUUGACUUCAUUGACGCUUUUGACUUUUAUUUUAAAAGUCACUUUGCUCUGAACAUUGAAUUCAAGAAAUGCCAUUCAGCAUUUCUAAAAUUCAUUCAAAAAUAUGUUUAUGACAUUGAUUUACAAAAAACAACAGUGUCAAUGAAAAAUUUGGCAUCACGUUUGGAAUUAAUUUAACAAUAAAAGUUUCAUGUAAGAAAAUGUAAAGAAAGUGCGCCUCCAAGUCCCAGGCUGAACUGAACUGAGUAAAUAAUAACAUUUAUACUAACAUAAAAGUUUUGAAAUAAAUUAAUCUUUUUUUUUGUCAUUAAGAUAGCUUUUUUGUGAAAAAGGUCGCACUGUUGUAAUUAAAAUUCAUGUAAAAUAAUAUGAUUCUAAAAAGUGAAAUAUUUCUUUAAAUAAAAUAUAUGAGAAAAGGUAA